This is a non-coding RNA of Camellia sinensis, 2834 nucleotides long. NCBI's taxonomy places the organism in Eukaryota, Viridiplantae, Streptophyta, Magnoliopsida, Ericales, Theaceae. The record is from RefSeq and is a predicted model, not a curated record.
GCUCCAAAACAAUCUUCGCGAAAUCGAGCUCUCAAGUAGUACUCUUCUAGUUGCAGAGCAGAGAGAGAGAGAACAUUUAGAGAGGGGAGAGAGAGAGAGAGAGAGAGGAGAGAGAAUGGCGAACGAAGCAGACAUGGGUAGCUGGACCGAUCUUCUCCAUUCAUCUUCGAAGCUUCUCGAACAAGCAGCUCCGUCAGCUCAGUUCCCUCCUCUUCAGAGGAACUUAGAUCAAUUGGAGGCAUUGUCGAAAAAGCUAAAGGCGAAAACCCUAAGAACUGAAGCUCCUACUCAAUCUAUUGCUGCCACGAGGCUAUUAGCUCGUGAAGGAAUAAAUGCAGAGCAGCUUGCUCGGGAUCUUAAAUCUUUUGAAUUAAAGACGACUUUUGAAGAUGUUUUCCCUGCUGAGGCAACAAGCGUGGAAGAGUAUCUGCAACAGGUACAUGAGAUGGCAAUGGUUUCAGCUAUUCAGGAAGCUCAGAAGGAUAACCUUAGAAGUUUUAAUGAUUAUAUGAUGACAGUUUUGGAGGAGGAUUGGCAAAAGGAAAAACGAGACUUUCUUCAAAGCAUGAGCCGAAUUUCUACAUUACCUAAAACCAAUUUGGGUGAUUCAAGUACCAGGGGGAUUCGUCCAAGUCAAAUUAUGUCUUUGACUUCAAGCCCACAGGUUUCAUCUGGUCAAUCUAGCAUGGAGCUUGCACCUCUAGCUAAUAAGCCUGUCCUUGAGAAAAAAGCUGCAGCCUAUGCUGAAGUUGUUAAGAAUCUCAAUAAUGCAAGAGAGCGUAGUUUUCCGUUUAAACCUGCUACAGUUUUCAAGGGUGCUUAUGAGAGUUUGGGCCUUGAUGCUUCUGGUGGGAAAUCAGUUAGCAUGCAGAAGAUAUGGCAUCUAAUUCAGACACUGAUGGGUGAGGGCCCAACUGUUCCAAGGGAUGUUUCGAAGAAAAUGUCUUUAGUAAUUGGUGCAAGGCGCCACCUCGAAUGGGGGCAUGAGAAAUAUAUCAUUGAUACAAUACAAAGUCAUCCUGCACAGGCUGCUCUUGGUGGGGCGGUUGGCAAUUUGCAAAGAAUACGUGCUUUCCUUCGGAUUCGUUUAAGGGAUUAUGGGGUUCUAGAUUUUGAUGCAGGGGAUGUUCGUCGGCAGCCUCCUGUUGAUACAACAUGGCAGCAGAUUUACUUUUGCUUGCGAACUGGGUAUUAUGAUGAAGCGAAAAAUGUUGCCUUAUCGUCUCGUGUUUCAAACCAAUUUGCUUCCCAGCUUUCAGAAUGGGUAACUACUGGAGGAAUGGUAUCACCAGAUUCUGCAGCUGCUGCUUCAGAAGAAUGUGAGAAGUUGUUAAGGAUGGGUGAUCGAGUUGGUCGACCUGCAUAUGACAAGAAAAAGUUGCUAUUAUAUGCUAUAGUAUCUGGUUCUCGCAGGCACAUUGACCGCCUGCUUAGAGAAAACCCUACACUUUUCAACACCAUAGAGGAUUUCUUGUGGUUCAAAUUGUCUUCUAUACGAGACUGUCCGGCAGGGUCUAGUUCUGUUGUCCUGAAUGAAGGAUAUUCACCCUACAGUUUGGAUGAUUUGCAGAUUUACCUAAAUAAAUUCGAGCCUUCAUAUUAUACUAAGAACGGCAAGGACCCUUUGGUAUAUCCAUAUGUUUUGCUCUUAAGCAUUCAGUUGCUACCAGCAGUCUUACAUUUGUCAAAGGAUAUGGGAGAUGAAGGAUAUAGUAUAGAUGCUGUGCAUAUAGCUGUUGUGCUGGCUGACCAUGGGGUCCUUUCUGUUAGUGCUGGAGCAGGCCAAAAACUGGGGGUCAUGGAUGCUUUUGCUGAGGCAGCUAGCAUAAUUAGGCAGUAUGGAUCAGUCUAUUUACGUCAUGGCAAUCUUUCAAUGGCAUUGGAAUAUUAUGCACAAGCUGCCGCUGCAGUGGGUGGUGGGCAGUUGUCAUGGAGCGGGAGAGGUAAUGUAGAUCAGGAAAGGCAGAAAAGCUUGAUGUUGAAGCAACUACUUACAGAGCUGUUGUUACGGGAUGGUGGAAUUUAUCUUUUACUUGGUCCAAGAGGUGCUGGAGAAGAAGCUGAACUGGGAAGGUUUUUGACUGAUGUAAAAACUAGACAACAGUUUCUGCUUGAAGCUGCUCGCCAGUGUCAGGAAGCUGGGCUUUAUGACAAGUCAAUAGAAGUUCAGAAAAGAGUUGGGGCAUUUGCGAUGGCAUUGGAUACAAUAAAUAAGUGCCUCUCUGAAGCAAUUUGUGCCUUAUCACGUGGUAGAUUGGAUGGUGAUAGCCGGACUGCUGGGCUAAUUCAUUCUGGGAAUGAGGUUUUGGAGACAUGCAAGUAUUAUCCGGAAGUCAGUCAUCAAGAGAGAGAACAAGUUUCGGAACAACAAACUGUGUUAAGUCAGCUUGAGGCCAUAUUGUCUAUCCAUAAAUUGGCGAGAGCGGGAUGUCAUUUAGAUGCACUGAGGGAGGUUGCAAAACUUCCUUUUCUUCCUUUAGAUCCACGAGCGCCUGAUAUUGCAAAUGAUGCGUUCCAAAAUUUGUCAGCCCAUGUCCAAGCUUGUGUGCCAGACGUUUUGAAGGUUGCUCUUCAUUGCUUGGACAAUCUCACAGAUUCAGAUGGAUCACUUCGUGCCUUGAGAACCAAGAUUGCGAAUUUCCUUGCCAACAAUUUGAAUAGGAACUGGCCUCGUGAUCUGUAUGAAAAGGUUGCUCGAAGCUUGUGAAACCAUGGCUUUUCCGGCUGUCUAGGUUGGUUACGCAUAUAUGGCUUUUGUACAAAACAGUCAACUUCGGCUAGUCUGUCCAUGAUGGCCAUUUUUGUUGGUGAGAUCUUUGUGGAAGAAACUACAU